Molecule: long non-coding RNA, 323 nt
Filed under: Eutrema salsugineum
Lineage: Eukaryota; Viridiplantae; Streptophyta; Magnoliopsida; Brassicales; Brassicaceae
Description: long non-coding RNA (ESAL_LNC001498)
Source: RNAcentral
GAGUCUUGCGGCAAAGAGGAUGACCUUUGAUGAAUCGCAGGAUCGUGCUCUGCAUAUUCUCCGACUGACAGAGGUGGGGGAGACCCGAUACCCCCAUUGUUUCCCCAUGAAAGUCAUCUCCUGGAAUUGUCGGGAUCUUGGAGCUGUGGGAUCACCGACCGGAAAAAAUCUGAAUAUUCAUAAGCCUGAUUUUACGUUCUUAGUUGAAACUCUACUAAGUGUAAUAUACUUAGGGAUUUGUGUGUCUAGAUAAAGUUUGAUUAACUAUUUACCAUUCCGUCAAUAGGGAGGAGUGGAGGAUUGGCUAUAUUAUGGAACAAGGA